AGUGGAAUGUCUGGGUCAUAUGUUAAACUUUUUAAGAAAUUACCAAACAGCUUUUUCAAAGUGAUUGUACCAUUUAACAUUCCCACCAGUAAU
RNAcentral lists this microRNA precursor (93 nucleotides) under Marmota monax (woodchuck). The record is from RNAcentral. Lineage: Eukaryota; Metazoa; Chordata; Mammalia; Rodentia; Sciuridae.